This 498-nucleotide ribosomal RNA is filed under the name uncultured bacterium. RNAcentral describes it as "partial 16S ribosomal RNA". It matches the Rfam family "Bacterial small subunit ribosomal RNA", at positions 30 to 523 of the family's 1533-position model. The record is from RNAcentral.
AUUGAACGCUGGCGGCAUGCCUUACACAUGCAAGUCGAACGGUAACAGGUCUUCGGAUGCUGACGAGUGGCGAACGGGUGAGUAAUACAUCGGAACGUGCCCGGUCGUGGGGGAUAACGCAGCGAAAGCUGCGCUAAUACCGCAUACGAUCUGAGGAUGAAAGCGGGGGACCGUAAGGCCUCGCGCGAUCGGAGCGGCCGAUGUCAGAUUAGGUAGUUGAUGGGGUAAAGGCUCACCAAGCCAACGAUCUGUAGCUGGUCUGAGAGGACGACCAGCCACACUGGGACUGAGACACGGCCCAGACUCCUACGGGAGGCAGCAGUGGGGAAUUUUGGACAAUGGGCGAAAGCCUGAUCCAGCAAUGCCGCGUGCAGGAAGAAGGCCUUCGGGUUGUAAACUGCUUUUGUACGGAGCGAAAAGGUCUCCUCUAAUACAGGGGGCUCAUGACGGUACCGUAAGAAUAAGCACCGGCUAACUACGUGCCAGCCGCCGCAGUAA